GGGCCCGUAGCUCAGUGGACAGAGUGCUUGGUUCCAGACCACGAUGUCGCGGGUUCAAAUUCUGUCAGAGCACGCUCUGACUGACUCCCAUUCGCUCGCUAGCGCUCGCUCACGGGAGUCCCGUCGGGUCCG
RNAcentral lists this transfer RNA (132 nucleotides) under Halorubellus sp. JP-L1. RNAcentral's name for it is "tRNA-Trp". The record is from RNAcentral. Lineage: Archaea; Methanobacteriati; Methanobacteriota; Halobacteria; Halobacteriales; Halorubellaceae.